This 252-nucleotide ribosomal RNA is filed under the name uncultured bacterium. RNAcentral's name for it is "partial 16S ribosomal RNA". It matches the Rfam family "Bacterial small subunit ribosomal RNA", at positions 524 to 776 of the family's 1533-position model. The record is from RNAcentral.
UACGGAGGAUGCGAGCGUUAUCCGGAUUUAUUGGGUUUAAAGGGUGCGCAGGCGGCGUGUCAAGUCAGCGGUAAAAUGUCGGGGCUCAACCCCGGCCGGCCGUUGAAACUGGCGUGCUCGAGUUGGAGAGAAGUAUGCGGAAUUCGUGGUGUAGCGGUGAAAUGCAUAGAUAUCACGAAGAACCCCGAUUGCGAAGGCAGCAUACCGGCUCCACACUGACGCUGAGGCACGAAAGCGUGGGUAUCGAACGGG